Molecule: non-coding RNA, 23 nt
Filed under: Cricetulus griseus (Chinese hamster)
Lineage: Eukaryota; Metazoa; Chordata; Mammalia; Rodentia; Cricetidae
Source: RNAcentral
UUAAAAUAGCUACCGGACACAGU